Molecule: RNA transcript, 1798 nt
Organism: Camelus dromedarius (Arabian camel)
Lineage: Eukaryota; Metazoa; Chordata; Mammalia; Artiodactyla; Camelidae
Gene name: actin-related protein 3B-like
Exons: 8
Source: RefSeq, a predicted model, not a curated record
GCCGCCGCCGCCCAGGGCGGAGCGGGGCGCGAGGUGCGGGGAGACGGCUGCAGGGGCUCCCGCCGGCCCGGCAGCAGCGCCGCGGCCGCGCGAGGCGUUUGGUGUCGGCUGCGGGCCGUCCCGCCAGGGCCCUCUGACGUGCUGCGUGUGCACAGGUGGCUGCGCGGUGCCCGUCAGUGCGCCGCCCGUGGCGGGGUCUGUGUUCGGGGACGGGUGUGUUUGUGGCUGCAGUUGCCGCAGUUCGUCCCGGCCCUCCAGACCUCCCCAGCCCCACUCUCGGCCUCGUGGUCCUGGCACGACCGCUGCUUCUGCCCCGGAUGCUUCCUCUGGGCUCCGCCCCCAGCACGUCCACGUCACGCCUGCUGCCUUAGUCCUGCAGAAAUCCUGCGCUUUGGAUUUGUGUCACCUUCUGUAAGUUGAAAGCUUCUGGACCAAGUGCGGCAGUGAGAUGGAGUCAGAAGAGGAGGUAUUGCCAUCAGAGAGUCAGCAAAGGUGGCUGACCAAGCCCAAAGGAGGGUGCUGAGGGGAGUUGAUGACCUGGACUUUUUCAUAGGGGAUGAAGCCAUAGAUAAACCCACGUAUGCCACAAAGUGGCCAAUAAGACAUGGAAUAAUUGAAGACUGAGAUCUAAUGGAGAGGUUCAUGGAACAAGUUAUUUUUAAUUUUCCCUGAGCUGAACCUGAGGGCCAUCACUUUUUGAUGAGUUUUAGAAUUAAGACUCUCUUCCUCAGAAACCUUCCUAGCAGAUUUGCCCUGUCUGUCCGCGCCCAGUGUGGGCCCUAUAGGGGAACAAAAUUACUUUGGUACAUUUUGAUGAGUCAAGAUUCUCUCCUGUUGCUGGUGAGGGGACCACAUCUCAUCACCUGGCCCCAAGAGACAGAACCUCCUCUGAAUACACCAGAAAAUAGAGAAUAUCUUGCAGAAAUUAUGUUCAAAUUAUUUAAUGUACCAGGACUCUACAUUGCAGUUCAGGAGAAGUACUGUCACAUUUGCCCCAAUAUAGUCAAGAAGUUUGCCAAGUAUGACGUGGAUCAGCGGAAGUGGAUCAAACAGCAAACAGGGAACAAUGCCAUAAGCCAGAAGAAAUUCAUUAUCGAUGUUGGCUAGGAAAGUUUCCCAGGCCCUGAAAUUUUCUUUCACCCAGAGAAACACCAGUGGAAACAAAUCUAAAGAUGUCAUGCACUAGGGCCUGCUGUAAUGAUCCUUCAGUCCCCCAGCUGGGUCCUCAGUGAAGUACCAGAUACUGAUUAACAUGCCAAGUAUAAUGCCUGGCCCAGGAAGCUCAGGAGAUGAAUCGAAUAACUUGACCAUGAAGGAGCACUGAGGAGGAGGCAGAGAUGAUCUAUGGCAUGGGUAUUAUAAUAGGCGUACUACAAGGCUCAGAGGCAGUGCAGAGGAAGAAAUGAGGAGCUCUUGGAAGUGGUGGGCAGAGGGCAAGUGUUUGGAAUGUUCUUUAAGAAUAGGUACACUUGAACUGACUCUUAAAAGAUGGGCAGGUGUUUGACAAGGCAAUGUGAACACCACAGAUAGAGGGGAGUGAAGCCACCUGGAAUCCUUCCUCUCUGCACUGCAAACAGUUUGGGAUGGUUGGUGCAUAUGGCACGUGACUGUGCACAUUCUGUCCAUGUUGUGUGCACUGAUGAUUUAGAAAUGACAGAAGGGCAAGUGGUGAAGCUGGAGAGUUGCAGAAGCACACAGAGGAAGACUGCCUUACAUGGUUCUUCAAGGUAUUUGGACAUGAUCCUGUGGCAAAGCAAGUCAUUACAUGAUUAUUAAACUAAGCAGUAUUGGUGUGGAA